UUAAAGAGAGUUUGAUCCUGGCUCAGGACGAACGCUGGCGGCGUGCCUAAUACAUGCAAGUCGAACGAACCGACGAAAGAGCUUGCUCUUUCUGACGUUAGUGGCGGACGGGUGAGUAACACGUGGGCAACCUGCCUGUAAGUUGGGGAUAACUCCGGGAAACCGGGGCUAAUACCGAAUAAUAACAAGCGUCGCAUGACGCCUGUUUGAAAGAUGGUUUCGGCUAUCGCUUACAGAUGGGCCCGCGGUGCAUUAGCUAGUUGGUAGGGUAAUGGCCUACCAAGGCAACGAUGCAUAGCCGACCUGAGAGGGUGAUCGGCCACACUGGGACUGAGACACGGCCCAGACUCCUACGGGAGGCAGCAGUAGGGAAUCUUCCGCAAUGGACGAAAGUCUGACGGAGCAACGCCGCGUGUGUGAAGAAGG
RNAcentral lists this ribosomal RNA (426 nucleotides) under Listeria cornellensis FSL F6-0969. RNAcentral's name for it is "bacterial SSU rRNA". It matches the Rfam family "Bacterial small subunit ribosomal RNA", at positions 1 to 414 of the family's 1533-position model. Lineage: Bacteria; Bacillati; Bacillota; Bacilli; Caryophanales; Listeriaceae. The record is from RNAcentral.